Molecule: transfer RNA, 72 nt
Filed under: Camelus bactrianus (Bactrian camel)
Lineage: Eukaryota; Metazoa; Chordata; Mammalia; Artiodactyla; Camelidae
Also listed under: 2 other names
Rfam family: tRNA
About the family: Transfer RNA (tRNA) molecules are approximately 80 nucleotides in length.
Source: Rfam by way of RNAcentral
GGAGAUGGUACUCAGUGGGAGAGCAUGUGCUUGGCAUGUACAGGGUUCUGGGUUCAAUCCCCAGUGUCUCCA